GCCAGACUCCUACGGGAGGCAGCAGUGGGGAAUAUUGGGCAAUGGGCGCAAGCCUGACCCAGCAACGCCGCGUGAAGGAAGAAGGCUUUCGGGUUGUAAACUUCUUUUCUCAGGCACGAAGCAAGUGACGGUACCUGAGGAAUAAGCCACGGCUAACUCCGUGCCAGCAGCCGCGGUAAUACGGAGGAUGCGAGCGUUAUCCGGAUUUAUUGGGUUUAAAGGGUGCGUAGGCGGAAUGCCAAGUCAGCGGUAAAAUCGGGGGGCUCAACCUCGCUCCGCCGUUGAAACUGGCGUUCUUGAGUGGGCGAGAAGUAUGCGGAAUGCGUGGUGUAGCGGUGAAAUGCAUAGAUAUCACGCAGAACCCCGAUUGUGAAGGCAGCAUACCGGUGCACAACUGACGCUCAGGCACGAAAGCGUGGGUAUCGAACAGGAUUAGAUACCCGAGUA
RNAcentral lists this ribosomal RNA (447 nucleotides) under uncultured bacterium. RNAcentral's name for it is "partial 16S ribosomal RNA". It matches the Rfam family "Bacterial small subunit ribosomal RNA", at positions 330 to 792 of the family's 1533-position model. The record is from RNAcentral.